GGCUCCUUAGCUCAACUGAAUAGAGCAUCUCACUACGGAUGAGAAGGUUUCAGGUUUGAAUCCUGAAGGGGUCA
Molecule: transfer RNA, 74 nt
Filed under: Filimonas lacunae
Lineage: Bacteria; Pseudomonadati; Bacteroidota; Chitinophagia; Chitinophagales; Chitinophagaceae
Rfam family: tRNA
About the family: Transfer RNA (tRNA) molecules are approximately 80 nucleotides in length. Their secondary structure includes four short double-helical elements and three loops (D, anti-codon, and T loops). Further hydrogen bonds mediate the characteristic L-shaped molecular structure. tRNAs have two regions of fundamental functional importance: the anti-codon, which is responsible for specific mRNA codon recognition, and the 3' end, to which the tRNAs corresponding amino acid is attached (by aminoacyl-tRNA synthetases). tRNAs cope with the degeneracy of the genetic code in two manners: having more than one tRNA (with a specific anti-codon) for a particular amino acid; and 'wobble' base-pairing, i.e. permitting non-standard base-pairing at the 3rd anti-codon position.
Source: Rfam by way of RNAcentral